AUCUCAUUCUGUUUUUAUGUAUAUUGCUCUAAGUCAUAAGCAGUAUUUUGUUUCUUUCUCUUUUACACUGAUAGAUAUCUGCCCCCCUUGUUAGAUGCAAGCAGGAAAGAAGCAUGGGAGUAAGGAGAACAUUAGUUCUGCGAGAUGAGGGGGUUCAAGAAACCAGACAGAUAUAGAGCUGAAAACUGGGAUAUUUACCAAAGUAUAUAUGCAAACUACAUUAGAGAUCAACAUGUAGAACUCACAGCUCCUUCUCCAGAACCAUGUAUGCCUGCAUGCCAUCAUAUCCUACCAUGACAAUGGACUGACCCUCUGAACUUAAGCCACCCAAUUAAAUGUUAAGUGUUACCAUGGUCAUGGUGUCUAUUCAGAAUAUUAGAAAUUCUAACUAAGGAUUCUCUGAAAUUUGAGAGGAGGGACUUGAUGGAGACAUCCCAUUUAGAGUUGUGUGUUCCAAAGUCUGUCUCUGGGUAAUGUCUGGCAGUGGGUCUCUGAUGUUCCCAUCUUCUGACGGAGGAAGCAUCUUUGAUGAUGGCUG
This 538-nucleotide long non-coding RNA is filed under the name Cricetulus griseus (Chinese hamster). RNAcentral's name for it is "lncRNA (ENSCGRG00015029244.1)". The record is from RNAcentral. Lineage: Eukaryota; Metazoa; Chordata; Mammalia; Rodentia; Cricetidae.